UACAGAGGUCUCAAGCGUUGUUCGGAUUCAUUGAGCGUAAAGGGUGCGUAGGCGGCGCGGUAAGUCGGGUGUGAAAUCUUGGAGCUUAACUCCGAAACUGCAUUCGAUACUGCCGUGCUUGAGGACUGGAGAGGAGACUGGAAUUUACGGUGUAGCGGUGAAAUGCGUAGAUAUCGUAAGGAAGACCAGUGGCGAAGGCGGGUCUCUGGACAGUUCCUGACGCUGAGGCACGAAGGUCAGGGGAGCAAACGGG
RNAcentral lists this ribosomal RNA (253 nucleotides) under uncultured bacterium. Its description in RNAcentral is "partial 16S ribosomal RNA". It matches the Rfam family "Bacterial small subunit ribosomal RNA", at positions 524 to 776 of the family's 1533-position model. The record is from RNAcentral.